Lolium perenne is the source of this 1430-nucleotide long non-coding RNA. RefSeq lists it as uncharacterized. The record is from RefSeq and is a predicted model, not a curated record. Lineage: Eukaryota; Viridiplantae; Streptophyta; Magnoliopsida; Poales; Poaceae.
AUUUCGUACCCCACGGCGGGAUAUACGUAUACUGUGAGGUGUGAGCGGGACCUAACCCUAAUUCCCCACCUCCAUAUUGUGCCGCCGCCCUUCUCUCCACUAUCGCCCCGUCGCCGGGUAGAAGAACAUCGACACCCAAGACUCCUCCGCCCCGUCUCCUUCGAUCCUUGACGACACUCACCUGUCGCCCCGUUAAGGUGUGGAGAUGCCGGAGGGCCGCAGGAUCUGCUGUGGCGUGUGGUCGCGGGAGGCGGAUCUCGCAGGGCUCGAGAGGCGGGCAGGACGGCCGCCGCGGGGAUCUUCCGGAGCGAGCGCACCGGCAGCGUGUGCGCCACUGCCCGAGGUGCGUCGUUUGCUCUCGUCUCGCGUCAGUGAUUGCAAUUUGGGGGCUAUUUGUUGUGGGUGUUCACGAAGCAGGGAGUGCAGCCACGGGAGCUAAGCCAAUAUCUCAAAUGAGGAUGUAUUCUCUCGUUCUCUCCAUCCCCCAUCUCCCCUUCACGCCUCUCUCUUUGCUGUAGCUAAUUCUAGAUUUUUAAUGUGGCGUUUCUCUAUGUGAUUCUUGAUAGAUGCUCCUGUUGACCGGCUUAGGAGAUAAUUUACAAUGUAAACUGUAAAUUGCUAGCUACUGACUGUAAAUUGUAACAUUUACACAUGUUUGCAAACAUGUACAAGAACUGUGUGUGGGAAGUUGUGCCACUGUACAUAUAGCUUAAUUGUAUAACUAUGGCAUGCAGGGGUUUGUAUAUGCCAUUGUUCAUGUUAUUAAUUUGCUUCUACAUUAGUUCAUUUUCUCCAUGCUUUAGCAUUCGUGCUUUCAUUCAUAUUUCCUCUGGUAUUUUCUGAUUUAGCUAUUGCUUUGUAGGUCCUGUAUAGAUGGCAUGUCACCUUUACAGUUGAAGUAUCUUACAUGUUUAUUACUCUUUUUUUUUCUCUUAUACUUUCCACAGCAGCGGCGGCUCGCACUCUGACAUCCUGCCCGUCUUGCCGGAUGUUGAUGGCGCUAGAGAGCAGUACAAGGAGAGAAGGAAGAGCCGGUGCCACUCCUGCUGCACCACAUGGCCAGGUGGUGGUAGGUAGCCAGCCGCUGGGACUCUGAUGCCAGAGUAAGCGGUGCACACAGUGAGCAAUCGGCAGGUUGUCGUGGCGUUGGUGGAGGGAAGAAGAUAUCUACAUUCGCCUACGAGAGGUCUAGAUAAUGCAGCAGAAAGGGCCCUAUAGGUUGGGAGAGGUCCUGAUGACUCAGCAGCAAGAAUGGACUUGCAGGUCCGGCUAUCUGGAAGUUGUUGCAUUGUUUAUCAUUCUUUCUUUGACUCAUAUUGUUCUUACGUGGGUUCAUUUUGUGGUAGAUUUAGCUGGCAGUGUUUGAUAGCUGGAAUAUUGUAAUUGACUUAAUAAUUGUUGUGAAAAUAAUUUCAUGUCUUAUUUGGUUA